Molecule: ribosomal RNA, 668 nt
Filed under: Myroides marinus
Lineage: Bacteria; Pseudomonadati; Bacteroidota; Flavobacteriia; Flavobacteriales; Flavobacteriaceae
Description: partial 23S ribosomal RNA
Rfam family: Bacterial large subunit ribosomal RNA
Source: RNAcentral
UAACGUGAGUGGUAGGGGAGCAUUCUAACGGGGUAGAAGGUGAUUUGUGAGAAUUGCUGGACCUUUUAGAAAAGAAAAUGUAGGCAUAAGUAACGAUAAGGGGUGCGAGAAACACCCCCGCCGUAAGACUAAGGUUUCCUGAGCUAUGCUAAUCAGCUUAGGGUUAGUCGGGACCUAAGGCACACCCGAAGGGGGACGUCGAUGGCCAACGGGUUAAUAUUCCCGUACUACUUAUAAUUGUGAUGGAGUGACACAGUGAUGAAAGCACCGCGAACUGACGGAAUAGUUCGUUGAAGCACGUACCUAUUGGUUUGAUAGUAAAAUGCGUCAGACUAGGAGAAAUGCGAUAGUACUUUGAGUCUUCGGACAACGAGAUAGUGUGCCUAAGGGCUGUCAAGAAAAGCUUCUAAACUUAGAUUAUAAGUACCCGUACCGUAAACCGACACAGGUAGUCGAGGAGAGUAUCCUAAGGCGCUCGAGAGAUUCAUGGCUAAGGAACUAGGCAAAAUAGACCUGUAACUUCGGGAGAAAGGUCGCCAGCGCAAGCUGGCCGCAGUGAAAAGGUCCAGGCGACUGUUUAUCAAAAACACAGGGCUCUGCAAAAUCGUAAGAUGAAGUAUAGGGCCUGACACCUGCCCGGUGCUGGAAGGUUAAGAGGAGAUGUUAUC